This 350-nucleotide unclassified non-coding RNA is filed under the name soil metagenome. RNAcentral describes it as "partial contains 5.8S ribosomal RNA, internal transcribed spacer 2, and large subunit ribosomal RNA". The stretch from base 1 to 120 matches the Rfam family "5.8S ribosomal RNA", at positions 35 to 154 of the family's 154-position model. The record is from RNAcentral.
GAUGAAGAACGUAGCGAAAUGCGAUAAGUAAUGUGAAUUGCAGAAUUCAGUGAAUCAUCGAAUCUUUGAACGCACAUUGCGCCCGCCAGUAUUCUGGCGGGCAUGCCUGUUCGAGCGUCAUUUCAACCCUCAGGCCCAGCUUGGUGUUGGGGAUCGGCACAGGCGCCCUCGGGCGCCCGCCGUCCCCUAAAUCUAGUGGCGGUCCCGCUGCAGCCUCCUCUGCGUAGUAGUUUUCUCCUCGCAAGGGCAGCUCGGUGGCGACCUCGCCGUAAAACCCCCAACUUCUGAAAGGUUGACCUCGAAUCAGGUAGGAAUACCCGCUGAACUUAAGCAUAUCAAUAAGCGGAGGA